AUGUGCAGGGACUGGACGCGGGCGAAUUUUCUUGUUCCUGAUGAUAGUUAUGCCAAUACAGAGGAUUGGUGGCUAAGAGCACGGAAGGAUGUCCCCGAGUCUGACAGGUGCAGCUUUGACACGAUUAUCAUUCUCAUCCACUAGAGGAUCUGAAGAGAAAGAAAUGCCAGAAUUUUUGAGCAUGUGGCUUGUAGCGUUGAAAGGGUGCUUGAUUUAAUCAGAGAAGACAUUAGGGCCUGGAGGACAGUGGGCUGUAUCGGUGACCUUUUUUGA
This 273-nucleotide ribosomal RNA is filed under the name Triticum aestivum (bread wheat). Its description in RNAcentral is "partial small subunit ribosomal RNA". The record is from RNAcentral. Lineage: Eukaryota; Viridiplantae; Streptophyta; Magnoliopsida; Poales; Poaceae.